RNAcentral lists this ribosomal RNA (207 nucleotides) under uncultured bacterium. RNAcentral describes it as "partial 16S ribosomal RNA". It matches the Rfam family "Bacterial small subunit ribosomal RNA", at positions 1286 to 1500 of the family's 1533-position model. The record is from RNAcentral.
UCUCAGUUCGGAUUGGAGCUGCAACUCGACUCCAUGAAGCUGGAUUCGCUAGUAAUCGCGCAUCAGCCAUGGCGCGGUGAAUACGUUCCCGGGCCUUGUACACACCGCCCGUCAAGCCAUGGAAGCCGGGGAGUGCCUGAAGUGUGCAACCGCAAGGAGCGCCCUAAGGUAAAACUGGUGACUGGGGCUAAGUCGUAACAAGGUAAC